UGAUGCCAGGGUCAAAAGGUCUAAAUCCACAUGAGCUUGCUCAUCGGUGGAUUUAGACCUAAGGACCCGCCCCGAUAUGGAGCAGAACAUCCAGUGGAUGUUCGUUUUGCUCCGACCGAAGCGGAGCGUAGACAUAA
Molecule: small RNA, 137 nt
Filed under: Firmicutes bacterium CAG:56
Lineage: Bacteria; Bacillati; Bacillota
Description: Clostridiales-1 RNA
Rfam family: Clostridiales-1 RNA
Source: Rfam by way of RNAcentral